RNAcentral lists this ribosomal RNA (506 nucleotides) under uncultured bacterium. RNAcentral describes it as "partial 16S ribosomal RNA". It matches the Rfam family "Bacterial small subunit ribosomal RNA", at positions 29 to 523 of the family's 1533-position model. The record is from RNAcentral.
AUUGAACGCUGGCGGCAGGCCUAACACAUGCAAGUCGGACGGUAGCACAGAGGAGCUUGCUCCUCGGGUGACGAGUGGCGGACGGGUGAGUAAUGUCUGGGGAUCUGCCCGAUAGAGGGGGAUAACCACUGGAAACGGUGGCUAAUACCGCAUAACGUCGCAAGACCAAAGAGGGGGACCUUCGGGCCUCUCACUAUCGGAUGAACCCAGAUGGGCUGAGCUAGUAGGCGGGGUAACGGCCCACCUAGGCGACGAUCCCUAGCUGGUCUGAGAGGAUGACCAGCCACACUGGAACUGAGACACGGUCCAGACUCCUACGGGAGGCAGCAGUGGGGAAUAUUGCACAAUGGGCGCAAGCCUGAUGCAGCCAUGCCGCGUGUAUGAAGAAGGCCUUCGGGUUGUAAAGUACUUUCAGCGGGGAGGAAGGCGAUAAGGUUAAUAACCUUGUCGAUUGACGUUACCCGCAGAAGAAGCACCGGCUAACUCCGUGCCAGCCGCCGCGGUAA